GACGAACGCUGGCGGCGUGCUUAACACAUGCAAGUCGAACGGUAAGGCCCUUCGGGGUACACGAGUGGCGAACGGGUGAGUAACACGUGGGUGAUCUGCCCUGCACUUCGGGAUAAGCCUGGGAAACUGGGUCUAAUACCGGAUAGGACCACUGCCUGCAUGGGUGGUGGUGGAAAGCUUUUGCGGUGUGGGAUGGGCCCGCGGCCUAUCAGAUUGUAGGUGGGGUGAUGGCCUACCAAGGCGACGACGGGUAGCCGGCCUGAGAGGGUGACCGGCCACACUGGGACUGAGAUACGGCCCAGACUCCUACGGGAGGCAGCAGUGGGGAAUAUUGCACAAUGGGCGCAAGCCUGAUGCAGCGACGCCGCGUGAGGGAUGACGGCCUUCGGGUUGUAAACCUCUUUCGGCACCGACGAAGCGCAAGUGACGGUAGGUGCAGAAGAAGGACCGGCCAACUACGUGCCAGCCGCCGCCGUAA
RNAcentral lists this ribosomal RNA (478 nucleotides) under uncultured bacterium. Its description in RNAcentral is "partial 16S ribosomal RNA". It matches the Rfam family "Bacterial small subunit ribosomal RNA", at positions 28 to 523 of the family's 1533-position model. The record is from RNAcentral.